AAUCUGUUCGCGCCGGAGAAGCUGGAGUCGGAGAAGCCGCGGUCGCCGCCGUCGGGACCUGCAAGGGAAGUCUAAACCGGAGGUGGGGUUGCUCCGGCAAGACCCUCCGACGCUCAAGUCAGUACUCUGCCUCAACAAGAAUGGAGUGCUCGAACGGAGAAUUUAGCAGAGUUUUGAGAUAGAAAAAAGAGCUUAGAGAAUAACGUAUCUGGGUCCCCCUUUUAUAGGCGGAGGAGGCAACGGAUUGAUGGCGACGUUUGUAACCGUCUGGUAGUGGGCCGCCCGUAGUCAGGGAAAUUGAUUGCAAAGGAUAGUGGAGUAGACGCGUGGCCAUCACGGAGGCUUGCCACAUGGAAUCUGUUAU
RNAcentral lists this long non-coding RNA (364 nucleotides) under Elaeis guineensis (African oil palm). Its description in RNAcentral is "long non-coding RNA (EGUI_LNC035093)". The record is from RNAcentral. Lineage: Eukaryota; Viridiplantae; Streptophyta; Magnoliopsida; Arecales; Arecaceae.